CCUCCCUCAGGGGGGUGGGACCCUCUCCUGGGCACCUUCCAGGUUACGUCUGGGCCUGGCCUUGUGCUGAUGUCUCUGGUACUAACCAGACCACUGGGUAGCCCGAGGAGUGCAGGUGGCCUCCAGGCUGGGCCUGCCUGGUGUGCCUGUCUUCCACGGACUCUCUGCUCUCGUGGCAUCCACGUAGCUCUGUGCUGUGCCUGCCCAGGCGCCAUCUCCCCAGCCGGCCUUCAGCAAGCACGGCCGGAAGCCCUGCAUUUCCAUCAGGCUUGGAGGAAGGGGCAUGGCCUCAGGCAGCUCCCAGCGCAGCCCGAGUCAGAGAGUCCCUGGCUGGAGGAGAGAGGGAGCCCAGGGGCUGCUCCCCGGCCAAGGUCAGCAGCAGGAAGGCUCUGUCCCCUGCUGACCGGGUCCCCUGUCUCUCCCUUGCUGGGACAUUUCUGGCUCACGAGGGGCUCCCCUCUUGGACAAGCAAUGCCUUCAGCCUCACUGAUGGGCAGGGCUCCCGCUGCAGGCAGUGCGGCCCCAGCUUCCUGCAGGACUGCACCGCUAGUGCCAGUCGGGCUGCUGCCACCAGCGCUGACUUCUCAGCUCACUCACGUUGCUUGUGAAAUCUGGGAACAUUCUGCUCAGGUGGGUGUGGAGGUGCCUGCGGCCAUAGGGUGUGACCUGUAGGCCAACAGACCCUCCCUGAGGAGUGGAGAAGCAGAGCGUGGACCCCAGCUCUGACUCUGCCCGAGGAGAACUGCAAGGUGUCAGGAGUAGAGAGCGAGGGUAGAGAGUGAGCUGUGACACACCCAGGGAAGGAAAACAGCUCCCGGUGUUAUCUUUUGGAUCAGCUGCUGACUGUGGAGCCCUGAAAGGGAAACCGUCCUCCUUCCAUUGCCUCUCAGAGCAGACAGCGUCCUCUAGGUGCCAGGGACACCGACAGGCCUGGGUGUUGGCAUUUGAUGUCCUGCUGACCGUGGUCCGAGUAGCCUGGGCUUUGGCGGUGGUGCAGGUUGGGGCUUCAGUGAAGGUGUCCCUGGCGUUACAUGUGCCCACUGCAAGGGGCAGAGGCUGCCUUCGUGGGGGACGGACCUGUGGGCUGAGAAUAGCACCCUUGCCAGGUGACCCUAGAAGUAAGCUCAUAAUUACAAAAUGCCCCCAGUAUGGGAAAGAGUCUCCGGCCACAGUGCAAGAACACACACCGUGGAGGCAGGGACGGCUCCUCCAGGAAGGGGACGUUGAGCUCGUUCUGGGGCCAGAGCAGCCAACACUUGGAAUAUGCACCUGGAUUCAGUUGCCUAGAGGCGGGCUGAGCCAUCAUCGGAUGGAAGGUUUGGGGUGACAUAUGCCGUGCCCACUGGGGCAAGCUGUCCUGAAGGAGAUCAGAGCUUGGGAGAGUCGGCAUCUGGACCUCACACCUCACACGUAAGAAACCCAGGGAGGAGCACCGGCCCCGCUGGCCACAGGCCCAGCUCUCUGGGUAGCACCUGCCCUGCCCUGCUCUGCCUUCCCUGCAGGGCAGGUGCAGUAUGAGGGGCCUGCUACAUUCCUCCGAGCUGACCGGCUUGGGCACAUAGAGCGAGUCCUUCCCUGGGUCUGAAUGCUGCCAUGCAGUAACCCGGCGUCCCAGGGAGAGGUAGAGACCAGGGCAGGGCCAGAGUAUAGGAGGCUGGGUACCAGGACCUUGGGGUCAGGGGAAACUGAGAGUCUCUGCCACCUGGGUGAGCUAACCAGGGUCUGCUAACCAGCUGGGUGAGCUCACUAACCUUGAUUUCUGCUUGUGAAAUUGGGAUGGAGUCACCCGGGUGUUGGGUUAUUCUGAGAACAGCCCAGUGGAGCAUCUUAUCUGACUUGCGCUGUCUGGCACAGAGUGAGCUCAGUCCACAUGAACUUCCUUCUGCGUCCCUGUCCCCGUCUUCUGUCCUGCAGAGAGCUGCUGUCCUGUGGGGUCAUGGUGAGCACUGGGUGUGGUCAGAGGGGCGGGGGCGUGGACCGAGGCACCCGCGCUGGUGCCCGCCAACACACUGGCUUCCCCAAGGUCUCCGGCAGCUUUCCUUGGGGGAUGAGUGUCCCCAGACUUAGCUUUUCCCUUUUAGGCAGUUUCUUUUUCAAAUUCAGAAAUUUGCCAGAAAGAAGAGCGGCAUCCCUUGGACUCUUUGGACACAGAUAGAAGUGUUCUCAGGCCAAGGAUCGGUGAACCCCACUGUUGGAAUUAAGACCAAGAAAAAGAAAAAUGCUGAAUGUGCAUCCAGAGUGGCCCAAGGUCUGCUGCCUUGCCCAGGCAGGAGAAUAGCUGGAAAAAUGAUGGGACAUCAGUUCUGUGGAAUAUUCACCCAUUCUGUAGCUUCCAACGGGAAUGAGCUAGAUCUAGAAUACAGCAGCCAGGUGCCACUGUAGGAGCAGAGAGUGGCCCUACCAGACACGGAACGCACGGAGGCCUUGAUCUUGGACCUCGCAGCCUCCAGAUCUGUGAGAGAUGCAUUUCUGCUGUGUAUGCGGCACCCAGUCUACGAAAUGGCUCUCGGCUUGGUGCCACUGUCCCAAGUUACAGGCAGUAUCAAGAUACUGGAAAGAAGAAGGUCUCUGACGUGUUGACCAGGCAAACCUCAAACUGCAAACUGAUGGAAAAUGCAGCUACUGAGAGUGUCCUACGGAGGGGAUCCUUGUCCCAUGUGCCAGAUCUCAGAAACAAUGUUGCUUUGUCGACUAGGACCCUACUGCUCUCCUAAGCUAACCUGAAGGACCAACCGUCCAGCCAGGGGAGGGAGGAGGAGCCUGGCCAGGAGCACAUGCCCUCUACCAUGCUCCUGGGCCUCCACGUGGUGUCCUUGCCCACACGUCCCUGUGUCUGCUCAGCUGGGAAGCGAGCCACAGGCUGAGCCGGGGCAGGAGGGGCUGCCUUCAGCUCUCCCGUCAGCGGCUGUGCGGCUGCUGGGCUGUGAUGCCAAGUGAGACUCGGGGCGUGACGUGGCCUGCGACAGGCGUGCAGGCCAUGUGAAGGGGCCCGAAGCCAGCUGCCUUUCCCCACACGUAUGAAUUUUAACAUCUUUAUACAUUUGGGGUGCUCUUGCCCCUAACUGGGUGAAUGAGAAUUUCCUGGAAGGGAGGGCUAUUCCCAGCAGGGCCGGGCUCCUCCUCCCACUGUGCUCCUCCCCCCCCCCUUUGAAACAGCAGGGUGUCAAACCAGGGAGCUCACAGCCCAGGGCUGGGGCAGCCCAGUGGCAGUGUGCCUGAACGGAGGGGACGAGGGCUGCUUUCUCUGAGCGGCUGUGGGCACCCUCCCCCUUGGCCAGCUCCAGGGGCAUAGCUGAUGGCUCCACCUCUCAGCCAGGGACCCUGGGUCACCACCCUCCUGAGGAGGCUGGGACAGAGUUCAUGUGCCAGAAUCUCCAAGUGCACCUGAGAGGCUGCUGGGCUGGGCAGCCUGUGACUGGGGCUUCCAGAACCCUCUGAAAAUGUCUCGUUGGCCUGGCACAGAGGAGUCGGAAUGAGAACAGGGAGGUGCUGGCUAGCAGCAAGUGACCACUCACAGACCUGCACUGGUGCCUGAUUGGACAUGCAGCCCUUGGACACUCUGGACUCCUCACUUGCUCAGGAUAUGACUUCUGGUUUGUACCUGGUAGAGGUGGCAUUUGCUUCAAGGUCUUUGAGAGUCCAAGCUUGGAAACCCCACAGCAUGCAGGUCUCCAAGGCCCAGCUGAGUGGGGCUUUGCGAGCAAACUCCUCUGUCCCCCUAAUUCGUGGCUGACAUCCAGGUCUGCAUGUGCUUAUUAGCAGCUCGUAGAAAGGGAAAUCAUUCUGUUUUACAAGGAAAUGGAAUGUUUUCUGCUAGAAGCCUUUCGGAAUUGCAAGCAGAACACCGGCAAACCUUGAGAGAAUUCCAACCAUGUUGAUCCCAUGCAAAGUUUGUUUAAAGAUUUGUGUAAACCUCUAU
This is a non-coding RNA of Microcebus murinus (gray mouse lemur), 3919 nucleotides long. NCBI's taxonomy places the organism in Eukaryota, Metazoa, Chordata, Mammalia, Primates, Cheirogaleidae. The record is from RefSeq and is a predicted model, not a curated record.